Molecule: ribosomal RNA, 1339 nt
Filed under: Chryseobacterium sp. CUVET1229
Lineage: Bacteria; Pseudomonadati; Bacteroidota; Flavobacteriia; Flavobacteriales; Weeksellaceae
Description: bacterial SSU rRNA
Rfam family: Bacterial small subunit ribosomal RNA
Source: RNAcentral
GAGCGGUAUUGUUUCUUCGGAAAUGAGAGAGCGGCGUACGGGUGCGGAACACGUGUGCAACCUGCCUUUAUCUGGGGGAUAGCCUUUCGAAAGGAAGAUUAAUACCCCAUAAUAUUUAGAAUGGCAUCAUUUUAAAUUGAAAACUCCGGUGGAUAGAGAUGGGCACGCGCAAGAUUAGAUAGUUGGUGAGGUAACGGCUCACCAAGUCAGCGAUCUUUAGGGGGCCUGAGAGGGUGAUCCCCCACACUGGUACUGAGACACGGACCAGACUCCUACGGGAGGCAGCAGUGAGGAAUAUUGGACAAUGGGUGCAAGCCUGAUCCAGCCAUCCCGCGUGAAGGAUGACGGCCCUAUGGGUUGUAAACUUCUUUUGUAUAGGGAUAAACCUACUCUCGUGAGAGUAGCUGAAGGUACUAUACGAAUAAGCACCGGCUAACUCCGUGCCAGCAGCCGCGGUAAUACGGAGGGUGCAAGCGUUAUCCGGAUUUAUUGGGUUUAAAGGGUCCGUAGGCGGAUCUGUAAGUCAGUGGUGAAAUCUCACAGCUUAACUGUGAAACUGCCAUUGAUACUGCAGGUCUUGAGUGUUGUUGAAGUAGCUGGAAUAAGUAGUGUAGCGGUGAAAUGCAUAGAUAUUACUUAGAACACCAAUUGCGAAGGCAGGUUACUAAGCAACAACUGACGCUGAUGGACGAAAGCGUGGGGAGCGAACAGGAUUAGAUACCCUGGUAGUCCACGCCGUAAACGAUGCUAACUCGUUUUUGGGCUUUCGGGUUCAGAGACUAAGCGAAAGUGAUAAGUUAGCCACCUGGGGAGUACGUUCGCAAGAAUGAAACUCAAAGGAAUUGACGGGGGCCCGCACAAGCGGUGGAUUAUGUGGUUUAAUUCGAUGAUACGCGAGGAACCUUACCAAGGCUUAAAUGGGAAUUGAUCGGUUUAGAAAUAGACCUUCCUUCGGGCAAUUUUCAAGGUGCUGCAUGGUUGUCGUCAGCUCGUGCCGUGAGGUGUUAGGUUAAGUCCUGCAACGAGCGCAACCCCUGUCACUAGUUGCCAUCAUUAAGUUGGGGACUCUAGUGAGACUGCCUACGCAAGUAGAGAGGAAGGUGGGGAUGACGUCAAAUCAUCACGGCCCUUACGCCUUGGGCCACACACGUAAUACAAUGGCCGGUACAGAGGGCAGCUACACAGCGAUGUGAUGCAAAUCUCGAAAGCCGGUCUCAGUUCGGAUUGGAGUCUGCAACUCGACUCUAUGAAGCUGGAAUCGCUAGUAAUCGCGCAUCAGCCAUGGCGCGGUGAAUACGUUCCCGGGCCUUGUACACACCGCCCGUCAAGCCAUGGAAGU